Musa acuminata AAA Group (dessert banana) is the source of this 3099-nucleotide RNA transcript. It is a transcript of the gene named endo-1,4-beta-xylanase 5, with no coding region annotated. The record is from RefSeq and is a predicted model, not a curated record. The transcript is spliced from 10 exons. Lineage: Eukaryota; Viridiplantae; Streptophyta; Magnoliopsida; Zingiberales; Musaceae.
CCCCGGCUUCCUUGCUUGUUGCAUCUCUUCUCUCCAUGCCGUCAUCGUCAUCAAUCCGCUCACGUUCCCUGGCCGCCCCUUACCCCUAUUAAGUCUCCUGCUUGACUGCCCGGUUUCGGUGCGCACAAGUGAGAAGUGAAAGCAGCAGCGAGAGGGAGCAAUGAGAGAGCCCUCGAUCGGAACGUUUCUGCUCCUCACUUCGCCAUGGGCGUUGUUCUACUUGCACCUUGUUGUCACAGCCUCCUACGAGGGACCCUGGUACGAUUAUUCUGCUUACACCGAGUGUAAAUAUCAUCCUGAAGCUCCUCUUUACAAUGGAGGAGUUCUGGUGGACCGAAGUGGAAGAAUCCCCGUGGCAUACCACAAGACCGAGACUGGUGUUUAUGCUCCUGCCUUUCUGCUGUACAAUCUGACAGAGACCACGAGAUACAGUUUCUCUUGUUGGGUUAAAGCUAAGGGAACGGGUUCAGCUCUUGUGCGGGCGACGUUAUCUGCAGAGGGUUCGACGUUGAAUUGUAUCGGGACUGUCCUGGCGAGAAGCGGUUGCUGGUCAUUUCUCAAGGGUGGUUUCGUGCUUGAUUCCUUUUCCAGGUCCUCUGUUCUUUAUCUUCAGGAUGUUGAUGAGAAGAUGACUGAGAUUUCAGUUGCGAGUGCUUCGUUGCAGCCGUUCUCGGUCGAGCAGUGGUCGAUGCACCAACAGGACAGUAUUAGAACGAGAAGAAAGCGUGCGGUCACGAUUCAUGUUUCAGAUGAACAAGGGAACCUCGUCGGUGGAGCAUCAGUCUCGAUACGGCAAUCGUCGAGAGACUUCCCGCUUGGUUCGGCAAUCGCCAACACCAUCCUGGGAAACAAGCAGUAUCAGGAAUGGUUCGCCGAGCGAUUCAAUGCUGCGGUGUUCGAGAACGAGCUGAAGUGGUACGCAACAGAGCCGGAGCCGGGGAGACUCAACUACACUCUUGCAGAUGAGAUGCUGGAGUUCGUCGUGUCCAACCAGAUCAUAGCCCGAGGGCACAACAUCUUCUGGGAAGACCCAAUCUACACGCCGUCGUGGGUCCGGAAGCUCAGCGGCGACGACCUCCGAGCGGCCGUCAGGUCUCGGAUUGAGAGCCUGUUGUCCAGGUACAGGGGCCAAUUUGUGCACUGGGACGUCAGCAACGAGAUGCUUCACUUCGACUUCUACGAGCAGCGGCUUGGAUCCAAUGCCUCCUCAGAAUUCUUCCGCACGGCACAACAAUCUGACCCGCUCGCGACGUUGUUCAUGAAUGAGUUCAACGUCGUGGAGACCUGCAGCGACGCGAGAUCCACCGUCGACUCCUAUAUUUCAAGGCUUAAGGAGCUAAAAAAUGGAGGGGCCGUUUUGGAAGGGAUCGGACUGGAAGGACACUUCUGGAGGCCAAACAUUCCGCUGAUGAGAGCCGUGCUCGACAAAUUAUCUACUUUGGAGUUGCCCAUUUGGCUGACGGAGAUCGACAUAAGCAAGAAGGUCGAUGCGCAAGAACAGGCUCUGUAUCUCGAGGAGGUGCUGAGAGAAGGAUUCUCCCACCCGUCCGUGGGCGGCAUCAUCUUGUGGACCGCACUCCAUCCAAAUGGCUGCUACCAAAUGUGCCUCACUGACCAAAGUUUCGGCAAUCUCCCUACGGGAGAUGCGGUGGACGAGCUCUUGAAAGAGUGGGAAACGACGGAGGGAGGGUUGACGGAUGAGCACGGACAAUAUAGCUUCAUUGGAUUCUUAGGGGAGUACAAGGUGUCUGUGGUGGCCGGAAACAAGUCCACAGAGACUUCACUGUUCCUUAGCCGAGGAGGCGAGACUAAGCACGCUACUGUUCAUCUUUAAGGUUGAUUUCCCUCAAGAAGCUUCAUGCUUGCUUCAAUGGGUUUGUUCUUGCUGGUGUUGGCAAGCAGCAGCAAAACAGAAUACAUGCAUCUUCACCGGACAGGCCACAAGAUUUGCAGUGGAAAGCAUUACUAGCAGUGUAAAGCAUUGGCUACUUAUGAACAUGUAGAUCACUGAAUGAGGUGUGUAAACUGAUCUUUUGAAGCAGCAAACGAUUUCCGCUAGAUUUUGCAUUACUUUUCAGAGUCUUCGGGAAUGGUGUGGAGAGGUGGCGGAGUUGGUGCCGUUGUGGAACGAAGCUGAGUCAAAGGUGCCGAGCAUUUCGACGAUGACUAGCUAGCUGACAUGACGGGGUCAGACGGAGGGGUUCCGUCAUCUAGAGGUGACAGUUUGUGUCACCGCCCACCUAACAGUCUGAGCUCCAAUCGCCGGGCCGGGGAUGGUGCGCGGCCGUCCCUUACGAACCAUGGCGCCGAAGGUUGGACUUUUUGCCUGCCACCAGCUUUGGCCGCUGCCAUCUGAACAUGUCUGGCUCAUAUCCGUAAGAAAGAUGGAACAAAUCCUAUCUUAAGGCCUGGCGAUUGUGCGGCCUCCCUCCUCUUUAUCUUCUCCUCUUGCGAACCAUGACGCCGAGGGUUGAGGUGGACCUUUUGCCUACCACCAGCUUUGGCCGCUGCCAUCUUAACAUGUCUAGCUCAUAUCCGUAUCAAAGAUGGAACAGAUCCUAUCUCAAGGGUUUCGGCAAGUCGAGAGAUGGUCCUGCUUAUCGUCAGCUGCUCUGUCCCUUCAGGAGUCCCACGAUUUUCCAAUCCAACAUCGUUCUCAACCGCUGGAAAUGCAUUACUCCAACAUCCUCAUAUUUCUUUCAACCAAGUGCAGUCCAACGAGCCGAAACAGCCGGAGGAGGACCUCACUCCUUCGUGUUCGUUCAUGUCUUGUUCCGCGGACGUGGUGAUCUCUUAAAGGGGCCGAACUCCAUGUUUCAGAUAAACGCCAUAGUUACAGGCAUGUGGAGGCACAUGGAGAUGGACCUAAUCGUUGUUUCACGAAAAGCGACUUUUCUGACGAGAAUAUAUGUUGAUUGAUGCCCUGCCGGACGCAAGCAGCAAAAGUAGACAAGGCAUCCAUAUGCACGCAGCUUCAACGUGGCUAAAAGCCUGCAGAUAACUUCUCUUUGGUGUAAAAGAAGUCCGUCCCAGUACAAAGCUCCCGUUGAUGCCGCUUCGAUCGAUGUGAUAAGAUGAAGACGACGAAUCCUGGAAUUC